AUACGUAGGGGGCGAGCGUUGUCCGGAAUGAUUGGGCGUAAAGGGCGCGUAGGCGGCCCGGUAAGUCUGGAGUGAAAGUCCUGUUUUUAAGAUGGGAAUUGCUUUGGAUACUGUCGGGCUUGAGUGCAGGAGAGGUAAGUGGAAUUCCCAGUGUAGCGGUGAAAUGCGUAGAGAUUGGGAGGAACACCAGUGGCGAAGGCGACUUACUGGACUGUAACUGACGCUGGGGCGCGAAAGGGUGGGGAGCAAACAGGAUUAGAUACCCUGGGAGUCCACACUGUAAACGAUGAAUGCUAGGUGUAGGGGGUAUCGACCCCUUCUGUGCCGCAGUCAACACAAUAAGCAUUCCGCCUGGGGAGUACGGCCGCAAGGUUGAAACUCAAAGGAAUUGACGGGG
Molecule: ribosomal RNA, 397 nt
Filed under: uncultured bacterium
Lineage: Bacteria
Description: partial 16S ribosomal RNA
Rfam family: Bacterial small subunit ribosomal RNA
Source: RNAcentral